AGUCUACAAGAGUGAACCACAGGAUGUGGUCUUUAUACUGACUAUACAGAACGAGGAAGCACAGUAUAUCCAUCCCAUAUAUACCUCAGUCCAGGCUCUUUACUUGGUGUGUAUUGUGAAGGGGGAGGGGGAA
Small nucleolar RNA from Sorex araneus (European shrew), 133 nucleotides. RefSeq annotates it as small nucleolar RNA SNORA51. Lineage: Eukaryota; Metazoa; Chordata; Mammalia; Eulipotyphla; Soricidae. The record is from RefSeq and is a predicted model, not a curated record. The transcript has a single exon.